RNA transcript from Callithrix jacchus (white-tufted-ear marmoset), 5431 nucleotides. It is a transcript of the gene named CTD phosphatase subunit 1, with no coding region annotated. Lineage: Eukaryota; Metazoa; Chordata; Mammalia; Primates; Cebidae. The record is from RefSeq and is a predicted model, not a curated record.
GACGUCACGCGCUCUCCAGGAAGUCGGCGCGGGCCGAGCGGCGGGUGGAAGCCGGUGCCGAGAGGAACUGCUGUGUUGCCGCCUGGGUCGGGCCGCCGCGGUGGGCGCCGCGGUCUGAGCGCCGCGCAGGCCCCGUAGCGACCGCCCGUCCGCCCUCUGUUCACGAUGGAGGCGCCGUCCGCGGGCCGUGUUCCCGCCGAGGGUGCCCCGACGGCGGCUGUGGCCGAGGUGCGCUGUCCGGGGCCCGCGCCGCUGCGCCUGCUGGAGUGGAGGGUGGCGGCGGGCGCGGCCGUGCGCAUCGGCUCGGUGCUGGCCGUGUUCGAGGCCGCCGCCUCCGCGCAGCCCGCCGGCUCCCCCCAGUCCCGUGCGGUCUCCGGGGGCUGCGUGCGCCCGGCGCGGGCGGAGCGCAGGCUGAGGUCGGAGCGCGCGGGCGUGGUGCGGGAGCUGUGCGCGCAGCCCGGCCAGAUGGUCGCCCCAGGAGCGGUUCUGGUGACGUUAGAAGGAUGUAGCCACCCAGUUGUCAUGAAAGGCUUGUGUGCUGAAUGUGGCCAAGACCUCACCCAGUUGCAGAGUAAGAACGGGAAGCAGCAGGUGCCGCUGUCCACGGCCACCGUGUCCAUGGUGCACAGCGUGCCGGAGUUGAUGGUGAGCUCCGAGCAAGCUGAACAGCUGGGAAGAGAAGACCAGCAGCGGCUGCACCGAAACCGGAAACUCGUGCUCAUGGUGGAUUUGGACCAGACGUUGAUCCACACGACCGAGCAGCACUGCCAGCAGAUGUCGAAUAAAGGCAUCUUUCACUUCCAGCUGGGCCGGGGCGAGCCCAUGCUGCACACGCGCCUGCGUCCUCACUGCAAGGACUUCCUGGAGAAGAUCGCCAAGCUGUACGAGCUGCAUGUCUUCACCUUCGGCAGCCGGCUCUAUGCGCACACCAUCGCAGGAUUUUUAGACCCCGAGAAGAAGCUUUUUUCUCAUCGAAUAUUAUCGAGGGAUGAAUGUAUCGACCCAUUUUCUAAAACAGGAAACCUUAGAAAUCUCUUUCCUUGUGGAGACUCAAUGGUUUGCAUUAUCGAUGACCGAGAGGACGUCUGGAAGUUCGCCCCCAACCUGAUCACUGUGAAGAAAUACGUGUACUUCCAGGGCACAGGCGACAUGAACGCGCCCCCCGGGUCCCGGGCGUCUCCGACAAGAAGGAAAGUAAAUCAUUCUUCUCGAGGCACCGAGGUCUCAGAGCAAGCCCCGCCCGUGAGAGACCCUGAGGAGGGAGCACAGGCCCCUGGAGUGGAGCCCAGCAACGGCCUCGAGACAGCAGCACGGGAGCUGAACGGCAGCGAGGCUGCCGUCCUGCAGGACUCACCCCGCCCUGGGAAGCCAGAUGAGAAGGACACCUGGCCCCUUGCCCAGGCCCCCGCUGGCAGCCGAGAGCUGGCAGGUGCUCUCGAGCCUCAGGGAUCCUGUGCACAGGGUGGCCGGGCAGCACCGGGACAGCGGCCUGCCCAGGGUGCCAUGGGCACUGACCUGGACUUUGACCUAUCCAGUGACAGCGAGAGCAGCAGUGAGUCGGAGGGCACAAAGUCCUCCCCCUCGGCUUCUGACGGUGAAAGUGAAGGGAGGAGAGGCCGACAGAAGCCGAAGGCUGCCCCAGAGGGAGCUGAGGUGCUGGUGCAGGGCAGGCCCCUGGAGGCAAGCCGGCCUGCAGGGCCAAGUUCCCUUGGAGAGGCCGAGCCCAGCGCACAUGUCCCGGACAAGGGGCCCGAGCUCGGUGGGCAGGAGGAGGGCGAGCGGGACAGCCUCUGCAGCCUGGGCAACGGCUGUGCCGACAGGAAGGAGGCAGAGACCGAGUCUCAGAACAGCGAGCUGUCGGGCGUCACCGCGGGCGAGUCCCUGGACCAGAGCAUGGAGGAGGAGGAGGAGGACACGGAUGAGGAUGACCACCUCAUCUACCUGGAGGAGAUCCUGGUCCGUGUGCACACCGACUACUAUGCCAAGUACGACCGCUUCCUCAACAAGGAGAUCGAGGAGGCGCCAGACAUCCGCAAGAUCGUGCCGGAGCUCAAGAGCAAGGUGCUGGCGGACGUGGCCAUCAUUUUCAGUGGGCUGCACCCCACCAACUUCCCAAUAGAGAAGACGCGGGAGCAUUACCACGCCACAGCACUGGGAGCAAAGAUCCUCACUCGGCUGGUGCUGAGUCCCGAUGCCCCUGACAGGGCCACGCACCUGAUCGCCGCACGGGCUGGCACAGAGAAGGUGCUGCAGGCACAGGAGUGUGGGCACCUGCACGUGGUCAAUCCUGACUGGCUGUGGAGCUGCCUGGAGCGCUGGGACAAGGUGGAGGAGCAGCUCUUCCCGCUCAGGGACGACCACACCAAGGCACAGAGGGAGAACAGCCCCGCGGCCUUUCCCGACCGGGAGGGUGUGCCCCCCACUGCCCUGUUCCACCCAAUGCCGGUUCUUCCCAAGGCCCAGCCUGGCCCUGAGGUUCGGAUCUAUGACUCCAACACGGGAAAGCUCAUCAGGACGGGUGCCCGGGGGCCCCCAGCACCCCCCAGCUCCCUGCCCAUCCGCCAGGAGCCCUCCUCCUUCAGAGCGGUCCCGCCACCUCAGCCGCAGAUGUUUGAUGAAGAGCUGCCUGAUGCUCAGGACGGAGAGCAGCCUGGCCCUUCUAGAAGAAAGCGACAGCCCAGUAUGUCUGAGACAAUGCCGCUGUACACUCUUUGUAAGGAGGAUUUAGAGAGUAUGGACAAAGAGGUGGACGACAUCCUUGGAGAAGGCAGCGAUGACAGCGACAGCGAGAAGAGGAGGCCAGAGGAGCAGGAGGAGGAGCUCCAGCCCCGGAAGCCUGAGGCCCGCAGGGAGCAGACCCUCGGGGCCUCAGCGUCCAGCGAGAGGAGCAUGGCAGGUGGCCGGGGGCCCAGCAGCGGCUUCGAUUCAGCAGCCCCUGGUGGUGGACACUUGGAUGCCUCCAUGUUGAAUCCAUGUCAUAUUACAUGUGUGCACAGGCGUGUGUGUGGUCUGCACAUGUGUGCACAGGCGUGUAUGGGGUCUCCACGUGUGUGCAGGCGUGUGUGGUCUCGGUGUGUGUGAGGUCUGUACGUGUGCACAUAGGCAUGUGUGGGGUCUGCACGUGUGCACAGGUGUGUGAGGUCUGUAUGUGCACACAGGCGUGUGUGAGGUCUCCACGUGUGAGCACAGACAUGUGGGGUCUCCGUGUGUGCGCACAGGCAUGUGUGGGGUCUCCGUGUGUUCGGACAGGUGUGUGUGAGGUCUGUAUGUGUGCGCACAGGCGUGUAUGAAGUGGUGUAUGCGCACAGGCAUGUGGGGUCUCCGUGUGUGCGCACAGGCGUGUGUGGGGUCUCCGUGUGUUCGGACAGGUGUGUGUGAGGUCUGUAUGUGUGCGCACAGGCGUGUAUGAGGUGUAUGCGCACAGGCGUGUGGGGUCUCCGUGUGUUCACACAGAUGUGUGUGAGGUCUGUACAUGCGCACAGGCGUGUGUGGGGUCUCCGUGUGUGUGCACAGGUGAGUUCUGUACGUGUGCAUGCACAGGCAUGUGUGUGGUCUCCAUGUGUGCACACAGGCGUGUGUGAGAUCUGUAUGUCUGCACACAGACGUGUGUAUGGUCUCCAUGUAUGCACACAGGCGUGUGGGGUCUGCACAUGUGCGCACAGGUGUGAGGUCUGUAUGUGUACAUGCACAUGUGAUCUCCAUGUGUGCAUACAGGCGUGUGUGAGGUCUGUAUGUGUUCACACAGGCGUGUGUGGUCUCCAUGUGUGCGCACAGGCGUGUGGUCUCCAUGUGUGCUCACAGGCAUGUGAGGUCUGUGUGUGUGCGCAGACGUGUGUAUGGUCUCCAUGUGUGCACACAGGUGUGUGGGGUCUCCAUGUGUGCGCACAGGCGUGUGGUCUCCAUGUGUGCUCACAGGCAUGUGAGGUCUGUGUGUGUGCGCAGACGUGUGUGGGGUCUCCAUGUGUGUGCACAGGCGUGUGUGAGAUCUGUACGUGUGCGCACAGACGUGUGUAUGUUCUCCGUGUGUGCACAUAGGCAUGUGUGUGCAUAAGCAUGUGUGUGGUCUCCGUGUGUGUGCAUACAGGCAUGUGAGGUCUCCAUGUGUGCGUACAGACGUUUGUGGUCUGUACAUGUGCACACUGGCGUGUGUGGGGGUCUCCAUGUGUGCGCACAGGCAUGUUUGUCAUCUAUACGUGUACGCACAGGUGUGUGUGUGGGGUCUCCAUGUGUGCGCACAGGCGUGUAUCAUCUCUGUGUGCACACAGGCAUGUUUGUGGUCUGUACAUGUGCACACUGGCGUGUGUGGGGGUCUCCAUGUGUGCGCACAGGCAUGUUUGUCAUCUAUACGUGUACGCACAGGUGUGUGUGUGGGGUCUCCAUGUGUGCGCACAGGCGUGUAUCAUCUCUGUGUGCGUACAGGCAUGUUUGUGGUCUGUACAUGUGCACACUGGCGUGUGUGGGGGUCUCCAUGUGUGCGCACAGGCAUGUUUGUCAUCUAUACGUGUACGCACAGGUGUGUGUGUGGGGUCUCCAUGUGUGCGCACAGGCGUGUAUCAUCUCUGUGUGCACACAGGCAUGUUUGUGGUCUGUACAUGUGCACACUGGCGUGUGUGGGGGUCUCCAUGUGUGCGCACAGGCGUGUAUCAUCUCUGUGUGCGCACAGGCAUGUUUGUCAUCUAUACGUGUACACACAGGUGUGUGUGUGGGGUCUCCAUGUGUGCGCACAGGCGUGUAUCAUCUCUGUGUGCACACAGGCAUGUUUGUGGUCUGUACAUGUACACACAGGUGUGUGUGGGGUCUCCAUGUGUGCGCACAGGCGUGUAUCAUCUCUGCACACAGGCAUGUUUGUCAUCUAUACGUGUACACACAGGUGUGUGUGUGGGGUCUCCAUGUGUGCGCACAGGCGUGUAUCUUCUCUGUGUGCGUACAGGCAUGUUUGUGGUCUGUACAUGUGCACACAGGUGUGUGUGUGGGGUCUCCAUGUGUGCGCACAGGCGCAUGUAUGGUCUGCACGUGUGCACACAGUUGUGUGUGAGGUCUGCCUGUGCGCUCACAGGUGAAAUGGAGUAGAAGCAGUGCCAGCCUCGGAGAGGCUGCUCCCAGCUUCAGCAGGGUGACCAUUUUAGCAAGACCUGAGGAAAUGAGAAUUUCUGGAUUGCAGCCCCUUGAUGACCUGGGAGGUGCUUGUUAGCAUAACUGACUGGUGACUUCCUGUCCUGCCCUCACACUCCCGAUCUGAGGUUUCCAGCAAGACCCGUGUGUUUAUGAGCUGCUGGAACACCUGUUUGCAGAUGAGGCCACAAGAGGAAGCUGAACGAAGAGGAUGCCGCCAGUGAGUCCAGCAGGGGGUCCAGCAACGAGGACGAGGGCAGCAGCUCUGAGGCCGACGAGAUGGCUGCGGCGCUGGAGGCGGAGCUGAAUGACCUCAUGU